UGCGCAGGUGGGCUUGUAAGUCAGUGGUGAAAUACUGCCGCUUAACGGUAGAACUGCCAUUGAUACUGCAAGUCUUGAGUAUGGUUGAGGUAGGCGGAAUGUGUUGUGUAGCGGUGAAAUGCAUAGAUAUGACACAGAACUCCAAUUGCGAAGGCAGCUUACUAAGCCAUUACUGACGCUGAGGAACGAAAGCGUGGGGAGCGAACAGGAUUAGAUACCCUGGUAGUCC
Molecule: ribosomal RNA, 229 nt
Filed under: uncultured bacterium
Lineage: Bacteria
Description: partial 16S ribosomal RNA
Rfam family: Bacterial small subunit ribosomal RNA
Source: RNAcentral